CUCACAGUUCAUGGGUUUGAGCCCCACGUCGGGGUGUCACUGCAGAGCCGGCUUCACAUCCUGUCUUCCUCUCUCUGCCCGUCCCUCUCUCGUGCUCAUACGCGCGCUCCCUCUCUCUCUCUCUCAAAAGUAAGUAAAUGUCAACAACAAAAAAAAGCAAAAGCAGAACAGCAUCCAAGUGACCCAGAAGAGCCCCUCUCAGAUUGCUCACCUGGAGCCUGAGAGACCCCGCUUACCACGCUGCAGGGGGACCGUGCCCGCCUCCGCAAGCUGCAAGCGGGUCUAACUAGCAGCUUCUCCUGGUCUCGGGUCUCAGCCACGUUUUUUCUUUUACUAAGAACUGUUUGUAUGGGAGAGUUUAUGUAAGAGAAGUAAAUCGAGGACAGAAGGAAAUAGUUUAGCGUCUCCAGAGUUCUCGGAAGAGUCCCUUCUUCGAGCCUGGGCAAUGUCCCGGGAGGGCACCCCCACUGCAGCUAAGGCUCAGCCUGUUCCCACGAUGCACCGACAUUUCAUCACGCUGCCAUAUUCUUCUCAAUCACGACUGAGAUCUCCCUUCCCGACAAAGUGCCGCUUCCCACCCCGCCACUGCCUUUCGCAAAUGUUCCGCCACGUGCGUACGUGGCUGUCCCGAGGCAGAAAGAGGAUUCUGACCACUUGGGUCUACCCGGGGCUGUCGGUUCAGAGGCAGAUCAGGCUCCUGAGUGGGCAGCUGCUGGGGGCCGGGCCGGGACACUGCUGCCUGUUCUAACUCAUAGAACAGGGAUGAAAUUAAGUCUUUUCUGAGACAAUUCUGGAGCAAAUGUGAAAUUUCGUGACACACUUGUAAAUGACAGAGCUCCAAGUAAACGCUGGUUCUCAUUAUAAAACGUGAAAUUACGCGGAGAGCACACACUAGUUCACUGUAUUAAAAAUCGUCACAGGAUUUGCUGGGACAACGAACGCGCCCAAGUCCUCCGCAGCGCUGACCAGAAACAAAGACUCGGGCAGUUGGAUGAGGGCCCCACUUGCACACAGCGGGCCGGGACUCUGUGGGCACACCACGAAACACGGAGACCCUGUGGGUGACACGGACACAUCUUAAAUGCGUCCAUGAACUCGCAAGAGGCGAGGAAGUCCCGGUCCCAAACCGCGGCCACGGUGGCACCCAGAGUGAUGGGCGGAGGCGCUCACACCCUGAGAGCACGUGCUCCGUGAGGAGGCCCCGCGGGGGAUUCUCACGGUCGCCAGGGGCGCGGCAGACAAAGGGCCGAGUUCAGAUCCAUGGUCAGUGAGGCCCCACUGUGGUUCCGUCACCGGGAGGGGAUCUGCGAGGAAGUGCACCGCCUGAGGCCCUGGUGCUGGCGGGGGAGGGGACCCAGGCGCAGAACCCAACUGACAUUACCCGAGGGACACCGACCCUCAAGCCACAGCGGAUCUGGCCCUGGCGGAGCCCCCGGGAGCCCAGCAGGAGCAGGAAUCGGCCUGCAACCCAGAGCUCAAAGCAAUCCCAAAGACGGGCUUCAAGGAGCUGGCUCACAAGAAGGUAACUACUAUGAACACAGUCACCGAAACAAUAGCAGCAGAGACAUAAAAUUAAAAUCCUUAAUUUAAACGUAGCUAAUAAGGGAUCUAAUAUAAAGAGCAAAAACGGAGGGGCACCUGAGUGGCUCAGUCGGUUUAAGUGUGCAACUUCAGCUCAGGUCAUGACCUCACGGUCUGUGGGUUCAAGCCCUGUGUCGGGCUCCAGGCUGACAGCUCAGAGCCCGGAGCCUGCUUCAGAUUCUGUGUCUCCCUCUCUCCCUCUGUCCCUCCCCCACUCACGCUCUGUCUCCCUCAAAAAUAAACAUUAAAAAAGAAAAAAAGCAAAAAUGGAAAAAAACAUAAGGAGAAGUGCACAACCAGAGUGAGAGACUUUUAACACAUCUGUGCAGUAACUGACAGGACGGGCAUCGGUAAGGACGCAGAAGUAUGGAGCGACCCACCU
This is a long non-coding RNA of Leopardus geoffroyi (Geoffroy's cat), 1963 nucleotides long. RefSeq lists it as uncharacterized. Lineage: Eukaryota; Metazoa; Chordata; Mammalia; Carnivora; Felidae. The transcript has 3 exons. The record is from RefSeq and is a predicted model, not a curated record.